This is a small nuclear RNA of Peromyscus maniculatus bairdii (prairie deer mouse), 187 nucleotides long. Its record names the gene U2. It matches the Rfam family "U2 spliceosomal RNA". Rfam says of the family: U2 is a small nuclear RNA (snRNA) component of the spliceosome (involved in pre-mRNA splicing). Complementary binding between U2 snRNA (in an area lying towards the 5' end but 3' to hairpin I) and the branchpoint sequence (BPS) of the intron results the bulging out of an unpaired adenosine, on the BPS, which initiates a nucleophilic attack at the intronic 5' splice site, thus starting the first of two transesterification reactions that mediate splicing. Lineage: Eukaryota; Metazoa; Chordata; Mammalia; Rodentia; Cricetidae. The record is from Ensembl.
AUUGCUUCCCAGCCUUCCAGCUCAGAUCAAGUGUAGUGUCUGCUCCUACAGAUUAAUACCUGAUACGUCCUCUGUCCGAGACAAUGAAUUCAGUGGAAUCUUUGGAGCCGGGAGAUGGGGUAGCAGGUUGCUGUACCCACUCCACACACUGAUGGUGUCGCAGCACUCCAGAAGUGGUACACCCUCA